CCUACGGGCGGCUGCAGUGAGGAAUAUUGGGCAAUGCCCGCAAGGGUGACCCAGCAACGCCGCGUGGAGGAUGAAGGCCGUAAGGUUGUAAACUCCUGUUAGAGGAGAAGAAUAGUACCGAUUGGAUCGGUAUUUGACUGUACCCUCAGAGAAAGCCCCGGCUAACUACGUGCCAGCAGCCGCGGUAAUACGUAGGGGGCAAGCGGUACCCGGAUUUACGGGGGGUAAGGGGCGCGAGGAAGUGAGAGGUGAAAUCCUACAGCUUAACUGUAGAACUGUCUUUGAUACUGUUAUUCUUGAGUUCGGGAGAGAGAGACGGAAUUCCAGGUGUAGUGGUGAAAUACGUAGAUAUCUGGAAGAACACCAGUUGCGAAGGCGGUCUCUUGGUCCGAUACUGACGCUGAGGCGCGAAAGCGUGGGGAGCAAACAGGAUUAGAUACCCGAGUAGUC
RNAcentral lists this ribosomal RNA (450 nucleotides) under uncultured bacterium. Its description in RNAcentral is "partial 16S ribosomal RNA". It matches the Rfam family "Bacterial small subunit ribosomal RNA", at positions 338 to 795 of the family's 1533-position model. The record is from RNAcentral.